CAAAAGAUGUUUCAUCUUUGCUGUAAGUGAAAUACAUAAAAAUGAUUAAGUGAAACUUUACACGUAAAGAUCCAUGAUGAAAUCCACCAGCCAAAAGUAUGAUUAACCAUUAGUAGCAGGCAUCAAAUAAUCGCAUCACAUUCCUCAAUAACAGAGCAACAUUGCCUUUGAGAAUAAGGAGAGGAACGCGUAUAGUAUGCCGGUCGCAGCAUUACUCAGCGUGAAGAAUGACGAAGGUGGCGAAGAAGGUGUGUAGUCGUCAAUGUUGGUAGUAGUGACGGUAGCGAUGACUGUGUGCAAGGAAAAUACGGUUGGAGAAUCAGAGAGAGAGAGAGAGAUAAGUGGAGAGAGAAUAAUAAAAGGAAUAAAAAAAUAAGAGCCGAAGAAGGGAAGUGCGUAAUAAAGGAGGGCGUACGAGUACGAUGCACCUGCGUCUCUCUUCCUUCUCCAUCUCGUUCUUCGCCAGCCCAACCAAUCAACUUUGUACAUCACAAAGUCACAGCUGUGAACCGGCAACCGGCCACGAGGAGUCUUACGGCCCCUUGAACCAUGCGUGACUUUUGCGCACGACGAUACUCUCCUCCCUUCCUCCCACUGACAACUGCUUGAUACCAGCGGCACCGGUUGAAUUCCGUAAAACCACGAAAUUGCUCAGUCAAGUCUGAUUAUAUAGCGCGCGUCAAAACGAACUCAUUGAAUGUGCUAUCUGGUGCAGCUGCAAUUAGUACCGUCCCGGACGAAUCUUUCUGGAAUAAUGAAUCUCCAUUGACUGUCGACGUUAUUCCAAAUGAUGCAGAACUAUUCAAGGUUAACCGUGGUAGCUCGUGACGGAAUUCGUGCUAGACGUGGUCUUCUUUUUUAUUUUCCUAGUAACUAACCGAUAGGUUGCUUUCACUUGCGACAGAGACACGUCACGUAUAACUACGCAAAUAUUACAUAUAUGUAUAGUAUGCAAACAGUUAAUAGAGAUCGUUCAUCUAUAAGAUUGUCUAAAUAAUUUUAUGUACUAGACAGUAUCUUCUUACGCACUCAUCGAGUCUUACAUUAACCAACCUAUGAAGACUGUACUGUAUAUCACAAAUGAUAAUUUAAAAAAUCAAUUUUAUACUGAACAAAAAAAUUCUAAAGUCCAAUCCUGUUCCAUAUGUCUUGAAGGAUCAUUCAGUCGUAGGAGUUGCUCCGAAUCCCUUAUCUGAAUUUGUAUUAUUUGCAUGCAGAUGUGAUGAAGAUCUGCACAUGCGUCUUAUCGUUUGCGUAUACUCCUAUAUACAGGACUCUUGUAACCCAACUAUUCGCCACGUGGGUGUGACACACAUUUUUCUCUUGUAGAACACAUGUGUUCAGACUCCACGCUCUCUCUUUAACUAGUCACGUGUGUGUAUGAGUGAAGAUAUAUAUACAGAUAAAAAGGUGUCUCAAGCGAAGGUAAAUAAUAGUGCCAUAUAAUUCAAAGAGAAAGAGACGAGACGGUACGCGAGACGCUUUUCCAAGUGUCUGAGUGUCAGCUCGUAAGAUCGUAUAGAAAUUGACAGCGCGAGGAAUGCGCGGAAUUCCAGUCGCAGAGCGAGAAUAGUGGAAUGCGAAAAUGUCCGUGAACGAGAUGAAAGAGGAGAAUUCGUGGCUGUCUUCUUUAUUUGGCGGCUCCUAUAGCGACAUCAGGUUGGGCGACUACGAGAGGCCAAGUAGUGACGUAUGAUGGUUGAUUAUUGAAUGAUGGAAAAGGAACGGCAAACGAUAAGAGAUGUUGCAGAUGCCACGAAGUACGUCCUUUGCGUUUUAAACGACACGGAUAACACGCAUGAAAGACAAUAGAUUGUGAAAGAAGUUUGUGGAACAAUAUCAUCGAUGGAUGACGAGAAUUCGAAUGAGUCGAAGAAUCAUUGUGCUUGAAAAUGAUGGAUGAUCAUGGGAAAAAUUUACAACGCUUCACUGAUGGGUUUAAUUUAUAACGUAAUAGCUUUGGCAUGGAAUUAUUUCUGCGUGGCUUCAUUUGAUUAGUCAUUCUUAAAUCGACUGGAUAUUUGCGGAGAUUUGAUUGCAGGAAGUUAUCAAUUCUUAGCUAGCAAAAAAAAGUAAUAUCUGAAAACAUCACCAUUAGUUUCAUAAUGAUUGGUUUAUAGUAUUAUGGCCUUACGAAUGUUAUUUUUAAUUUAAUUUAUUAUCUCCCUCUAAUCUUGACAUUGUUUUAAUCAUUAAAUUACUAUUUUCAUAAUUUAAAAACAUAGUAGACUCUAUGCCAGGUCUCCUAUGAAAUUUUUUUUAUUCAACGCGUUUAGUACACCCUGUAUAAAUUCUUACACGUAAUUCCUAUCCGUAUCGAAUACGCAUUGAUUGAUUCGAAUACCGACUAAUCGACGUAGCAGUAUAAAAAAAUUGCCGAGUUCAAUAAUGAAUCUAGACAUCAUUAAAUGUCUAUUUGCAAAAAGAGAAUCUUAUAUAACUCAAAUAGAUAUUAAUCAUUUGAUCUCCAGGGUGUGAAAAAAAUGUUAAAAAUUAUCAAUAACAUUCGUACCAGAAAAAGGAUUUGAAAUCGUUAAUAUGUCACCGAUCGUUGUCAGGUUUUUUAAAAAUUAAUUUAUACGUAUAAUUCAGGCCUUGCGGGUAUCGAUGCUUUUUUUGUUCUCUAUCAAUAUCACCAGAUCGUGACGAAUUAUUCUAAAUCGACCCUGUCCCACGACACUGAUCCUUUCAAUUUGUAUUUCGUGUUCAUCUAGGACACGCGAAUCAGCGUCGCCCACAGAAUCAUCAUUUAUGGAAGCUUGCAAGGCAACCUGGCAUUUAAUCAAUGUCGUGAAAGUCUUUACCCAGACUAAACCCACCAUAAGGCAUACUUCAAGAUCCGUCCUAGUAACAUUAAAAAGUACGCCGGCAAACAUUUCCUCAACAGAUAUACAAAAGAGUUAGAAAUAAACCGUGAGAAUCCAUAUUCCGUUAAACACGUGUUCUCAGUGAGCUACACUAAUCUAGUUAACUGUGUCAACCGAAGUCAAAGAAUUGUAACAAAACUUAUUGGACUAUUCAGAACAAAAUUUUCAUUAAUCAAA
Molecule: long non-coding RNA, 3044 nt
Organism: Cephus cinctus (wheat stem sawfly)
Lineage: Eukaryota; Metazoa; Arthropoda; Insecta; Hymenoptera; Cephidae
Exons: 4
Source: RefSeq, a predicted model, not a curated record